UAUUUAAAUAGUUUAAUUAAAAUAUUAAUUUGUGGGAUUAAAGAUUAUGUAUAUAUUUAAAUAA
Molecule: transfer RNA, 64 nt
Filed under: Aphis fabae mordvilkoi
Lineage: Eukaryota; Metazoa; Arthropoda; Insecta; Hemiptera; Aphididae
Description: tRNA-His
Source: RNAcentral